CUGGAAUCCCAUUAUGAUCUCAUCCAUAUGCUUUGCAUAGGGGUUUGUUUGUGCAUAAUUUAAAUUUCCAAACAACACAAUAGGGACUCAUUUCAGAAGGAUGGCCUCUAGAAAGUCAGUGCCUAGUUCCAAAUGAAUUUAAUUGAAUUCUAAGGAUCUAUUAUUCAAAUGUCCACUACAUGCUAAGCACCAUACUAGGUAUCAGGGAAACAAAGGCAAAAGGGAAAUUUUCCCUGCCUUCAUGGAGUUUUUAUUCUAGCAGGGAGAAACAAUUUCAACCCCCAGAAGUGAAAUCAGGAUGUCUCUGACAUCAUUUCAGAAGAGAGGCCACAGAUCUGAUAGGAUGGGAUUGGAAGUGUUUAAAUGUGAAACCAGGAAAGACUCUCCUCUUUCUAUUGAAACCCAAACUAGGACACCAGGAGACAUCAUCUUCCUCCUUUCCUUGGUCAAGCCUAGUCAAGCAUCCAUAUUUGGAAGGCAGAUAUUUGGAAAGCAUUUUUGUAAAUGUUUGACAGUGGGAAAAUCAGAGAAGACCCAUAUAAGUAAGAAGAUUGGCCUCAAUAUAAUAAGAAGAGACUUAAAAGAGGCCAAGUGCUUACUGACCACCUGGCUGGCUUUCUUGGUCAAUGAAGGAGGAAAUCAGCUCUAGAUGAAAAGUUACCAUUCAAAUUCCCAAAAUAUGAGAUCCUGGGACUAAGGAAUACCAGAGGAAGCAAAGGAGUAUGUCUUGCAUUAAAGAAGAGCAAGAGGCCAAUGAG
This 758-nucleotide long non-coding RNA is filed under the name Monodelphis domestica (gray short-tailed opossum). RNAcentral's name for it is "lncRNA (ENSMODG00000031223.2)". Lineage: Eukaryota; Metazoa; Chordata; Mammalia; Didelphimorphia; Didelphidae. The record is from RNAcentral.